CUUUCACAAUAAUUGAUAAACAGUGAUCCAUAAAUAACUUUAUAAAUCAAAAAUUAAUUCAUUAAAUCGAUUCUCUUCACUAGAAUCAACACUAACACAAAAGAAAUAAGAAAAUUAAGAAGAAGAGAUAGCACCAAGCUUAUCCUCGACUCAGUACUAUCGUGGACUAGACCUCGGCUCACAACUCUCACAGUCUGGCCCUCGGCUUACAACUCUCACAGUCUGGCAUUUUCUUCCCCUCUCCCAUCCUCCUUAUACCACCCCGA
Molecule: long non-coding RNA, 266 nt
Filed under: Physcomitrium patens
Lineage: Eukaryota; Viridiplantae; Streptophyta; Bryopsida; Funariales; Funariaceae
Description: long non-coding RNA (PPAT_LNC001867)
Source: RNAcentral